This 1087-nucleotide ribosomal RNA is filed under the name Verrucaria cf. tessellatula. RNAcentral describes it as "SSU rRNA". It matches the Rfam family "Eukaryotic small subunit ribosomal RNA", at positions 79 to 1180 of the family's 1831-position model. Lineage: Eukaryota; Fungi; Ascomycota; Eurotiomycetes; Verrucariales; Verrucariaceae. The record is from RNAcentral.
CCGUGAAACUGCGAAUGGCUCAUUAAAUCAGUUAUAGUUUAUUUGAUAGUACCUUCUACCUGGAUAACCGUGGUAAUUCUAGAGCUAAUACAUGCUAAAAACCCCGACUCACGGAGGGGUGUAUUUAUUAGAUAAAAAACCAAUGCCCUUUGGGCUCAGUGGUGAUUCAUGAUAACUUAACGAAUCGCAUGGCCUUGCGCCGGCGAUGGUUCAUUCAAAUUUCUGCCCUAUCAACUUUCGAUGGUAGGAUAGUGGCCUACCAUGGUUUCAACGGGUAACGGGGAAUUAGGGUUCGAUUCCGGAGAGGGAGCCUGAGAAACGGCUACCACAUCCAAGGAAGGCAGCAGGCGCGCAAAUUACCCAAUCCCAAUUCGGGGAGGUAGUGACAAUACAUACCGAUACAGGGCUCUUUCGGGUCUUGUAAUUGGAAUGAGUACAAUCUAAAUCCCUUAACGAGGAACAAUUGGAGGGCAAGUCUGGUGCCAGCAGCCGCGGUAAUUCCAGCUCCAAUAGCGUAUAUUAAAGUUGUUGCAGUUAAAAAGCUCGUAGUUGAACCUUGGGUCUGGCCGAUCUGUCUUCCUAACCGUUGUACGGAUUCGGUCGGGCCUUUCCUUCUGGGGAGCCCCAUGUCCUUCACUGGGCGUGGUGGGGAACCAGGACUUUUACCUUGAAAAAAUUAGAGUGUUCAAAGCAGGCCUUUGCUCGAAUACAUUAGCAUGGAAUAAUGGAAUAGGACAGCAGUUCUAUUUUGUUGGUUUCUAGGACCGCUGUAAUGAUUAAUAGGGAUAGUCGGGGGCGUCAGUAUUCAAUUGUCAGAGGUGAAAUUCUUGGAUUUAUUGAAGACUAACUAUUGCGAAAGCAUUCGCCAAGGAUGUUUUCAUUAAUCAGUGAACGAAAGUUAGGGGAUCGAAGACGAUCAGAUACCGUCGUAGUCUUAACCAUAAACUAUGCCGACUAGGGAUUGGACGGUGUUUCUUUUAUGACCCGUUCAGCACCUUACGAGAAAUCAAAGUUUUUGGGCUCUGGGGGGANUAUGGUCGCAAGGCUGAAACUUAAAAAAUUGACGGAAGGGCCCCCAAGGNNUGGA